Molecule: ribosomal RNA, 549 nt
Filed under: uncultured Gammaproteobacteria bacterium
Lineage: Bacteria; Pseudomonadati; Pseudomonadota; Gammaproteobacteria
Description: bacterial SSU rRNA
Rfam family: Bacterial small subunit ribosomal RNA
Source: RNAcentral
UGGGGAAUAUUGCACAAUGGGGGAAACCCUGAUGCAGCCAUGCCGCGUGUGUGAAGAAGGCCUUCGGGUCGUAAAGCACUUUCAGUUGUGAGGAAAGGUUAACGGUUAAUACCCGUUAGCUGUGACGUUAGCAACAGAAGAAGGACCGGCUAACUCCGUGCCAGCAGCCGCGGUAAUACGGAGGGUCCGAGCGUUAAUCGGAAUUACUGGGCGUAAAGCGCACGCAGGCGGUUUGUUAAGCUAGAUGUGAAAGCCCUGGGCUCAACCUGGGAAUUGCAUUUAGAACUGGCAGGCUAGAGUUUUGGAGAGGGGAGUGGAAUUCCAGGUGUAGCGGUGAAAUGCGUAGAUAUCUGGAGGAACAUCAGUGGCGAAGGCGACUCCCUGGUCAGUAACUGACGCUCAUGUGCGAAAGUGUGGGUAGCGAACAGGAUUAGAUACCCUGGUAGUCCACACCGUAAACGCUGUCUACUAGCUGUUUGUGGAUUUAAUCCGUGAGUAGCGAAGCUAACGCGAUAAGUAGACCGCCUGGGGAGUACGGCCGCAAGGUUA